UGCACGUAAUAUUUAGUAUGGUGCCGAUAAAGUUUGAAGGCUUAGAUAAGUACGCAGACAUAAAUAUGUGAUAACUACUCCGUUUGUGCAUCCAUAAAUACGUACACAUUUAUUUACCAAGUAAAUUUAUUAAACAUUAACGGGAUUACUUACCAUUUUUCACGGAGAAAUUACAUACUAUUUCAUUGAAGAGAACACUUCAAAAAGUUGCUGGGAGAACACUUCCAAAUUUUUGUAAGAAAUUCCAGCUGGAUGUGUGGAAAACCUCGGUGACAUUUUCUUUACACCCAAAUAAUGCUUUCCAGAGGUAGCUGUUCUUGAGGGACGGGGUGAAAAAUUGUGACUUUAGUCGCUAAGUUGUAUGAUACUUCGAAGGGUCAAUUAUACCUAGUGUCAGCAUCAGCCGGCCGGUACGGCCCCUCGGGCCGGACGGCCUGGAGAGUGCUCUCCACCUAAAACCAGUCCUUCUACGGCCCUGCAACGCCCAAAACUCAGUCUCCCUUUCUCCCGGCGCGGUUAUAGUACCUCCGCGGGGUGACGAUUAUUUAGAGUGUGUAGACUAAAUCCAGCGUGAACUUUACGCUUUAUCAAAUUUUCCUCACGCCAAUCAACGCGGUGAUUGUAUAUUUUCUGAUCUCCAUUCAUACGGAGAAAGGUUACAUGUCAAGGCGAACGGAACACAUUGCAGAUGAGUUUGCAGGGUUGCUGGGGGGUGGACUUUUUGGCCUAAUUUUAGCCAUAUUACUUUACUUGGGGGCGAAACAGGGGAGCAGAACAAAAUGUCGAAUAUGGCUCUGGUUCAGCACUUUAGGCACGUGUUUGUCACUCUGUCACGCGUUUGUGGUCACCAUGCCGGCAGUCGCGGGGGAUAAAAUGGCACCCAUUCCGACCGGAGAGUUUUUCGGACUGGGGCUGAUUUUCUACUUUCUUCACGUCGUUGAUAAGUACUCGGGUGAGUUAAGGGUGCUUCAGGAAGAAUGUCUGGCUCCACGUCAAGAUUCAGACCUCAGCCAUGGUUUCCCUGCUGAGGAGACUGUGUGAAUUUUUUAUUUAUUGCGUAACUUAGUUUAAGCUAAUUUUAGUGUUGUUUAGUAAAUUGCAUAAAUAUUUGCUAAGGGAAGGUUCACAUAUUACGUCGUGAGAAAGAAGGGUGUGUUUUUCUUGUUCGUUUUAAGCUUGAAACGAACAGGAUGAAGAAGGGAUGGGUGGAUGGUCUGAAUAGUUGUGCGCUUUAAGAUGACGUAAUAUAUGAACGUCCUUUAAAUGAGUAUUCAUUAAAAAUAGAUAAUAAAAAAGUUUGUGCUUCUGGUAUUUGAAAAAUU
Folsomia candida is the source of this 1322-nucleotide RNA transcript. RefSeq lists it as uncharacterized. The record is from RefSeq and is a predicted model, not a curated record. The transcript is spliced from 7 exons. NCBI's taxonomy places the organism in Eukaryota, Metazoa, Arthropoda, Collembola, Entomobryomorpha, Isotomidae.